This 858-nucleotide ribosomal RNA is filed under the name Escherichia coli. Its description in RNAcentral is "partial 23S ribosomal RNA". It matches the Rfam family "Bacterial large subunit ribosomal RNA", at positions 375 to 1238 of the family's 2925-position model. The record is from RNAcentral. Lineage: Bacteria; Pseudomonadati; Pseudomonadota; Gammaproteobacteria; Enterobacterales; Enterobacteriaceae.
GUACACAAAAAUGCACAUACUGUGAGCUCGAUGAGUAGGGCGGGACACGUGGUAUCCUGUCUGAAUAUGGGGGGACCAUCCUCCAAGGCUAAAUACUCCUGACUGACCGAUAGUGAACCAGUACCGUGAGGGAAAGGCGAAAAGAACCCCGGCGAGGGGAGUGAAAAAGAACCUGAAACCGUGUACGUACAAGCAGUGGGAGCCUCUUAAUGGGGUGACUGCGUACCUUUUGUAUAAUGGGUCAGCGACUUAUAUUCUGUAGCAAGGUUAACCGAAUAGGGGAGCCGAAGGGAAACCGAGUCUUAACUGGGCGUUAAGUUGCAGGGUAUAGACCCGAAACCCGGUGAUCUAGCCAUGGGCAGGUUGAAGGUUGGGUAACACUAACUGGAGGACCGAACCGACUAAUGUUGAAAAAUUAGCGGAUGACUUGUGGCUGGGGGUGAAAGGCCAAUCAAACCGGGAGAUAGCUGGUUCUCCCCGAAAGCUAUUUAGGUAGCGCCUCGUGAAUUCAUCUCCGGGGGUAGAGCACUGUUUCGGCAAGGGGGUCAUCCCGACUUACCAACCCGAUGCAAACUGCGAAUACCGGAGAAUGUUAUCACGGGAGACACACGGCGGGUGCUAACGUCCGUCGUGAAGAGGGAAACAACCCAGACCGCCAGCUAAGGUCCCAAAGUCAUGGUUAAGUGGGAAACGAUGUGGGAAGGCCCAGACAGCCAGGAUGUUGGCUUAGAAGCAGCCAUCAUUUAAAGAAAGCGUAAUAGCUCACUGGUCGAGUCGGCCUGCGCGGAAGAUGUAACGGGGCUAAACCAUGCACCGAAGCUGCGGCAGCGACACUAUGUGUUGUUGGGUAGGGGAGCG